UGCCAGCAGCCGCGGUAAUACGGAGGGUGCAAGCGUUAAUCGGAAUUACUGGGCGUAAAGAGUUCGUAGGUUGUUUUGUAAGUUGGCUGUGAAAGCCCCGGGCUCAACCUGGGAUGGUCAGUCAAAACUACAAGACUAGAGUAUAGUAGAGGGGUGUGGAAUUUCCGGUGUAGCGGUGAAAUGCGUAGAGAUCGGAAGGAACAUCAGUGGCGAAGGCGGCACCCUGGCCUAAUACUGACACUGAGGAACGAAAGCGUGGGGAGCAAACAGGAUUAGAUA
This 279-nucleotide ribosomal RNA is filed under the name uncultured bacterium. RNAcentral's name for it is "partial 16S ribosomal RNA". It matches the Rfam family "Bacterial small subunit ribosomal RNA", at positions 506 to 784 of the family's 1533-position model. The record is from RNAcentral.